This 259-nucleotide unclassified non-coding RNA is filed under the name Hevea brasiliensis (rubber tree). Lineage: Eukaryota; Viridiplantae; Streptophyta; Magnoliopsida; Malpighiales; Euphorbiaceae. The record is from RNAcentral.
UGGAGGUAUUCUACCAGAUAAUCUAUUAGAGUUCAAGUAAAGGAACUGAAGUGAAGAGAGGAGACCAAGUUGUUGCGGUAUAGAACCUGAAAGAGAGUUAGAGGAGAGGUCUAAAAGCCUAAGACGCAUGAGUUGGCCAAAGGAGGGAGGGAUAGUACCAGAGAUAUUGGUAGAGGAGAGAUUGAGAAGUUGCAGACAAGUGAGAGAAGAAAGUUCUGAAGGCAGUGAAGAUAGAUUGAGGAAUGUGUUAGGCAAGGAA